GGAGGGAUCGCAUAGUCUGGUCUAGUGCGCCCGCCUGCUAAGCGGGAGGGGUAACCCCCCACAUGGGUUCGAAUCCCAUUCCCUCCGCCA
This 90-nucleotide transfer RNA is filed under the name Dehalococcoidia bacterium. Its description in RNAcentral is "tRNA-Ser". It matches the Rfam family "tRNA". From Rfam's summary of the family: Transfer RNA (tRNA) molecules are approximately 80 nucleotides in length. The record is from RNAcentral. Lineage: Bacteria; Bacillati; Chloroflexota; Dehalococcoidia.